AUAGCGUAUAUUAAAGUUGUUGCAGUUAAAAAGCUCGUAGUUGAAUUUCGGGAUCAUCAUGUCGGUCGUGCCUCGGUACGUACUGGCAUUGUUGGUUUCUACCUUCUGACGAACCAUGAUGUCAUUUAUUUGGUGUCGUGGGAAAUCAGGACUGUUACUUUGAAAAAAUUAGAGUGUUUAAAGCAGGCUCACGCUUGAAUACAUUAGCAUGGAAUAAUGAAAUAGGACGUUUGAUUCUAUUUUGUUGGUUUCUAGGAUCGACGUAAUGAUUAAUAGGGAUAGUUGGGGGCAUUAGUAUUCAAUUGUCAGAGGUGAAAUUCUUGGAUUUAUUAAAGACUAACUACUG
RNAcentral lists this ribosomal RNA (346 nucleotides) under uncultured eukaryote. RNAcentral describes it as "SSU rRNA". It matches the Rfam family "Eukaryotic small subunit ribosomal RNA", at positions 594 to 945 of the family's 1831-position model. The record is from RNAcentral.